CGCGCUGUUGGCCCAGGGGUGCCGGGCCGCGCCGUUCCGGGUGGCGGCGUUGACCCGGCCGGAACAGGUCGCGCCGUUCGAGCCCGGACCGCUCGGCC
Molecule: transfer RNA, 98 nt
Filed under: Streptomyces hundungensis
Lineage: Bacteria; Bacillati; Actinomycetota; Actinomycetes; Kitasatosporales; Streptomycetaceae
Description: tRNA-Arg
Source: RNAcentral